GGGCGCUUAGCUCAGUUGGUUAGAGCGUCUCGUUUACACCGAGAAGGUCGGGGGUUCGAGUCCCUCAGCGCCCA
This 74-nucleotide transfer RNA is filed under the name Anaerolineales bacterium. RNAcentral describes it as "tRNA-Val". It matches the Rfam family "tRNA". From Rfam's summary of the family: Transfer RNA (tRNA) molecules are approximately 80 nucleotides in length. Lineage: Bacteria; Bacillati; Chloroflexota; Anaerolineae; Anaerolineales. The record is from RNAcentral.